Myotis daubentonii (Daubenton's bat) is the source of this 451-nucleotide long non-coding RNA. RefSeq lists it as uncharacterized. The transcript has 3 exons. The record is from RefSeq and is a predicted model, not a curated record. Lineage: Eukaryota; Metazoa; Chordata; Mammalia; Chiroptera; Vespertilionidae.
CAUCCCUCUGGAGAUGUUGGACUGCCGGUUCCAGCCUGAUCCCCGCAGGCCACGUUGAGGGACCUGGGCCUCUAGGAUUGAUGCUGGAACCUGGGGCUGAAUUGUUUUGGUUGUUGCUUUGCUGGAGGAGUCAGGAUCCUACAUCUGGGAUAAAUGGUCAUGCCAUGCCACAGGAAGCGGGAAUUUGAGGAGAAGCAAUGUCAUGAGUAACCUUAUGAAGUGGCCCAAGUGGUGAGGAAUUGAAGCUUCUGGCCAGCAGACAUGUGAGUGAGUUUGGAAUCAGGUCCUCUAGCCCCACUCAAGCCUGAGACUGUAGCCCUGGCUGACAUCUUGACUGCAAUCUUAUGGGAGACUCUGAGCCAGGAUCACCCUGAGGAAUUCCUGACCCCUAGAAACUGCAUGAUAUAAUAAAUGUUUAUUGUUUUAAGCUAAAUUUUGGAGUAAUGGGUUA